This 458-nucleotide long non-coding RNA is filed under the name Homo sapiens (human). Its description in RNAcentral is "HSALNT0255170". The record is from RNAcentral. Lineage: Eukaryota; Metazoa; Chordata; Mammalia; Primates; Hominidae.
CAGCUGGCUUCACCUCUCAUUGAGUUUGCAGGAUGGCAGGCUUAUGGGUGUCCUACGAUCUGCCAUUUGUUUGGAAGCUGGAGAACCAAGAAAGCUGGUAGUCUUGCUCCAGUCCAAGCUCAAAGACCUGAAAACAGGGGAGCCAACAGUGUAAACCCCAGUGUGAAGUCCAAAGGCUUGAGAACCAGGAGGGCCAAUGGUGUAAGUUGCGAGUCUGAGUCUGAAGGCUGGAGAACCAGAAGCACCCGUAUCUGAGGUGGGGAGAAGACCGAUGUUCCAUUUCAAGUACCUUUUGUCUGCGCUUGAAUCAUCCCAGUUGACGUGUGUGUCAACUGUUUCCUGCUGGGACUCUUGAUAUUCCAACUUCCUGAACAGAUCACUGGCUUUGGGGAGAAGUUGCUUCCAUAAAGAAACUCAGCCCUGUUGAGAGGCCUACGUGAUUUGGAAGCGCAGCUCCC